This 376-nucleotide ribosomal RNA is filed under the name uncultured bacterium. RNAcentral's name for it is "bacterial SSU rRNA". It matches the Rfam family "Bacterial small subunit ribosomal RNA", at positions 521 to 896 of the family's 1533-position model. The record is from RNAcentral.
UAAUACAGAGGGUGCGAGCGUUAAUCGGAAUUACUGGGCGUAAAGCGCGCGUAGGCGGCUUUGCAAGUCGGAUGUGAAAUCCCCAGGCUUAACCUGGGAACUGCAUUCGAGACUGCAUUGCUAGAGUAUGGGAGAGGGAAGUGGAAUUUCAGGUGUAGCGGUGAAAUGCGUAGAUAUCUGAAGGAACAUCAGUGGCGAAAGCGACUUCCUGGACCAAUACUGACGCUCAUGUGCGAAAGCGUGGGGAGCAAACAGGAUUAGAUACCCUGGUAGUCCACGCCAUAAACGAUGACAACUGGAUGUCGGGAGGGUCUGCCUCUCGGUGUCGUAGCUAACGCGUUAAGUUGUCCGCCUGGGGAGUACGGCCGCAAGGUUG